GCAUCCAACGGUUGGUGGUGCUAAUGUGAGGCAAUGUCUCCCUCACUCUAUAUGCAUGUAUCUUUUCUCGUCCCAGUCCCCUUUUUGUUAGUUCAUCCAUGACAUGAUCACUAAGGUUAUUCUUGGUUUUGUAGUUGUAGAUUGCUAUGGAGAAUAAUUGCCCUGAUUAAUUAGUAUUCAGAUGUAUUAUCCCAGACCUCAGAUAAAUUAGACAUGGCAUAUUAGAUAGUCUUUUCUGAUAAAUACUAAUAAUAGGUCCGAUCACAACUACAAUUUGUUAUGCUCUAAAUACCGGUACAUAUUAUUAUGUCUACUAUUUCCUUCAAUAAUGAUUAAUGAGAUAAUGCAACAAUCUUUGUUUUUGUUUUUGCCAUCGUUUUUUAGUCUCAAAUUUUUAUGUUCCUACAGUUCUGUCAUGCAUUAUUAUUUGUACACUUGCACACUAGCUUGUUAUUUGCCUACUGGUUUAGGCGGUAAAUUUUCUACUAAAUCUCUCUUGGCGCGAGAUGUUUGAUGUCUUGCCUCUUUGAAAUAAAAAUUAUAUGUCAUGGUAGAAUGUAUGUGUUGUUUCUUAGGAUUCAUGGGAGUAUUUAGGGUUUAACUAGAUUCUCAUAUGUUGUAUAAAAUUGUUGAUCAAAUCUUGGUGCUCUCUUUCUUUUAUCUGGUAAUGUUGUGAAAAUAGGAAUUGAUAACUCAGUGUGCCUUGCAGGAGACAACCGCGGCUACGAAAAGGAGGGCAUGUUGAAGCAGCACCAGUGGUGUGGGCGCGUCGCUGCGCUCCUCGGCAUCGAGAAGAUGUCGCUCACGAGUCAUCUCUGUACCACCUCCGGGUAUACCAGUUGCUUCUACUGUUCUCCCUACCCCUUCCUCCAUGGUCAAUUGUUCAUUAGGCUGGCCCAUGGGAGAACUGAUACAUUUACCUCGUUCAAUUGUGUGUGCAAUGAUAGUUGGAUUUGUUUUACAGAUGAACAUUUGUCUUCUAAAAGCAUAGCCUACCAACAGGUUCAAGCAAAUGCUAUUUUCGUUGUUCAUUUCAUCCUUCUUGUUUAUUGGGUAACUCUCAUUUUAGAAACAAACCAAACCCAUUAUGUCUACUAUGUUAACUAUAUCUAUCUAAUUCUAGGCAAAUGCAUAGGAGGAAUUUAAUGGUUCUUAUAUUUGCACAGCUAAACUAACAUUUUGUAGUGUUUUCAAAAUUGUAUAGUGUUUCCGUUGAAUAUUCAUGCCCUUUAAAAGUUUAAAUUCAGUUUGUCUUAAAAUCUCACCAUGUUCCUUUUAACAAAAUUAAUGCAAUGAUUUGCUAUGUCUGACAAAGGCUGGUCAAUCGGGCAUCUGCUGAAAACAGUCAAUUUUGGCUCUUACUCAUAUAGUUAUUCAUAUGAAAUUAUCCAGUUAUGUUUGGCAUGGUCCAGAAGUGAUUAUAUGACCUAUUUCAUUUGCUUUUAAUGUAGGCCAUGGAAGUCACUGGGGGUUUGGCUCUUACUCAUAUAGUUAUUCAUAUGAAAUUAAAUAUGGGAUGGUUGGGUUUCACGUAUGGGUGAGGAGGGUGCCCGAUUGGUUCAGAACCCUAGCUGGUUCUCAUAUUUAUGUUUGAGGAAUCCUUCGAUUGAGAAUUUGCAAUGGUUGCUGGUUAGGUUCACGUCUUGGAGACGUUAACAGUGUGUUCUCCAUCAAUAUGUUAAAUGAACUUUAAAAGAAAUCAGUUGGUCGUUUGUCUAAAAUUAUUUCAAACCUAAGAACUUGGGGUUGCUUAGAGUUAGAUAGUUUUGCACUGACGAGUCACAAAUGGUCGGCAUAUAUUUUCAUGGAUCUUAUCGAGUUAAUUUCAAAGAGUACAUCUUGGUUGCUUUGCUUGGUAUAAGAAUUGGGUUCAGAGCACCUUCGGGUAUAAGAAUUUGUUUUCUAAUUCUUGCUGGUCAGUCACAAAGCAUUAAUUUCUGUUUGCUUUACAAUUUUUCAGGAGUACUGGGAAAUGAUGAGCUUUUUUCCUUGGUUGCCUUUCUAUUACUGUGAUUCGGUUUGUGAUGCUCUGCUGCUCAUCUAGGUUGAUGGUGGAGCUGUGAUCCAAAGUUGGAGUGUGCCCUUUCGUCGGUGCCGUCAUUCUCUCCUCCACGACCGUCGUUGUCACGAGCCCAAGUAGCUUGGUUGGGUAUCGACGGUGUUGGUGGACCUAAUAGGUCCGUUUCUUUCUCUAAAAUGAAAAGCACACCGAGUUAUCUAUAUUUUGUCUGUAUGUAGUUCUAUACUUUUUUCUGCUAAUUUCUAAGUCCUGAUGGCCAUAAAUAAGAUUGUGUUAAAUAAGAUUGUGUGUUUUGGGUGAUACACCUAUAGAAAUCAAGGACCAGGACUAACUAAAGAUGAAUAAAAACACUGUACAGAGAACAAAAUAGGAAAGAGGUGGCCAUUGAGAUGUCAUGAUAGAUCAGAAUCAUGAUUAGUUAUUUAGUUGUUCCUCCAAUAGCAUCACAUGUAAAUGAAUCUUAAUAUAUUGAAGUUCUGUUUUUACUGGAACAGGGUAUGCCCUGUUCAAAUAAUAAUGAAAAAUGUUGUUAUCUCUUAAAGUAAUAAUAGCAUCUCUUAGUUUUUUUUGUUCUGCUUGAAAUUUCAGCAACAAAGAGAUUACAUUAUAUCCUUUUUGGUGGGCGGGUGAGCUAAUUUGGCAAUUUUCCUCUUUGGUUUAUGCAUAAAUUGGAUGCUUCAAAGGAUUUGAAUGGAGUUUAUUGUAGGUGAGUGUGACAAUCUGCAGGCUGACAUGCAUCAUUAGCUCCUCUUAUCCUGCAACAGGUAUCUUGCUAGGUUCAAUUAUUUCUUGGCUUAGAGCAGCGGCGCAAGUAGAGAGAGAGAGAGAGAGAGAGGCUGUUUCCUGGACUGCAGCUCCCCCCAUCAUCUUGGCUUGCAGGUUGCCACUGUGAUGGAGCCGAACGGGGUCUCGGGCCAGCUUGACUCCUAGCUUCCAGUCCAGUUUGUUGCCAAAUUAGCCCCCUAGCUAUCAAGGUUUCAGUACUUCAGCUCAUGCAUGUCAUCAUUUUGUUAAUGUGUCAAAGUAAAGAGAAAAUUGAUGCAUUGAGUUAUUAAUGAAGUGGUUUGGAUGAGAACUGAAAUCUUUCACUUUUAAGGCUGGAGAUUGUUAUGAACUGUGAGUAUUCAUAGAGAUAUUCAGAUCAAAUGAAGCAAAAGCAAGGCACAUAGUAUCUUUACAAUGACAAUGUGAUUUUUAACCCAUUGUGAUACUGAAAACCUGAUAAAGAAUAUAUUUUAUGACUGAAUGUUUGACGUGGGGCUGGAAGAAUUUUAGUUUUGUUUUGUACAUAAAUCUUCUAUGUAGUCAUGGUACUAAAUGUCCUAAGAUAUACCCGUAUGUUCUGUUUAUCUCCUACAAAUAGUGAAAUGGUCUAUGUGUAAAGUAUUUAUGUUUAGUUAUAUUAUGUUGUCGACGAUGCGUGGUUCUGGAACAUGGAGAUUAACAUUGAAGCUUUUGGUAUCUUGAAUUCUUAUGCUUUGUUAUUAACUUGAUGUGAUCCAGUUUUUUCUAUUUGGCAUUGCCACUGGCCUGCUUUCAGUGUCGUAUAACUAAACUCUUUUGGUUGAACUGGACGCAGAUUAAUUGUCCUGCCUUGCUUUUGGAACAAAUUAAAUGUAUCUUCUUUUUCAUGAGCUUGCAGAUCAAUUAUUCUUUAGAUAUUAAUACACUCAUUAGUUCCGAACAAGUACUAUAAUUUCCGAUGUACCAAAUGAUUUACAGUAUAGUGAGAUCUUACACGUUGGACCAAUUUGAUGUUUCUUCUUUCUCUUAAACCAGAAAAAAUCAUUGUCCUAUUGAAUAUGUAUGCUAAACCAUGUUUCCUACUAACGCAUCAUAUCAUUUGAUCAUUACCUUCUUGACCACAUCGUUGGGACAUGCACAGGUUCAUGUGAAGUGGUGCUUAUGAAGAUCAUCGACAAGGCAGUUGAGUGGAGUCACUUAUUAGUAUGAAGUGGCGCCUAUGAAGUUGAUCGACAAGGCAGUUGAGUGAAGCCACUUAUUAGUAUGCUUAGUAGUUCUGGCUUUGUAGUUGUCUCUCCUUUGUUACGCUUGUGGUAUCGAACUUCCAUGUCGAGUGGCUGCUUUUUUGGUGUCGAUUUUCAUGUCAGGUGGUUAUCUUUUGUGGUCUUAUGAACGCACUGAAACCAAUUCUACCUUAUAAUCUCAAGCCGAUAAUGAGCCCAUGUCUUGCUUCUAUAAUAGUUGAAUGUUUCUUCUUCAUUUUAUUGUUAUUCUGUAUGUAUGCAUAUGCUAAAUUUGGG
RNAcentral lists this long non-coding RNA (4284 nucleotides) under Triticum aestivum (bread wheat). RNAcentral describes it as "long non-coding RNA (TAES_LNC007354)". Lineage: Eukaryota; Viridiplantae; Streptophyta; Magnoliopsida; Poales; Poaceae. The record is from RNAcentral.